UACGAGUGCCCCGAGCGUUAUCCGGAAUCAUUGGGCGUAAAGGGUGUGUAGGUGGUUGUGUUAGUCAGUUGUUAAAACCUGGGGCUUAACCCCAGAUGUGCGACUGAAACGGCACGACUAGAGGAUGGCAGGGAUGUAUGGAACUCAUGGAGUAGGGGUGAAAUCCGUUGAUAUCAUGGGGAACACCAAAAGCGAAGGCAGUACAUUGGGCCACUCCUGACACUGAAACACGAAAGCGUGGGUAGCGAAUGGG
RNAcentral lists this ribosomal RNA (253 nucleotides) under uncultured bacterium. RNAcentral describes it as "partial 16S ribosomal RNA". It matches the Rfam family "Bacterial small subunit ribosomal RNA", at positions 524 to 776 of the family's 1533-position model. The record is from RNAcentral.